RNAcentral lists this non-coding RNA (32 nucleotides) under Geobacter sulfurreducens KN400. The record is from RNAcentral. Lineage: Bacteria; Pseudomonadati; Thermodesulfobacteriota; Desulfuromonadia; Geobacterales; Geobacteraceae.
AUGCCGAUUUGGCGGGGUAGCGGUCGUUAUGA